RNAcentral lists this small RNA (793 nucleotides) under Pan troglodytes (chimpanzee). RNAcentral describes it as "retained intron". Lineage: Eukaryota; Metazoa; Chordata; Mammalia; Primates; Hominidae. The record is from RNAcentral.
GGGGUGACGUCAUCUCCGGGAAGGUGGCCGGCCCAGGGUUGUUAGAGCCAGCCUAACCACUUGGGCCGGUUUGAGGCCGCUCUCGCCCCGUCAGAGGUCAGACCCAUUUCACUUCAGUAUCUCAGGCGGCACCCUGUCCCCGAGGAGGGGACCAUGACACAGGUUGUGAGUCCCGGCCCAGCCCCUCCACCCCCCUGCCCCCCCGAUGCGACCAUGGGCUCUGGUGACUAGGUGGCCACCCUCCGCCCCCGUGGGCCAGCGGCGAUUCUCUGCGGGACCUGGCAGCACCCCGGGCCAGCUCUGGGGAAGGUAGGAAGGAGCCUCCCAGUCCUGGUGCUGGGGCAUGGGGGCCAGCAGGGGUGGGGCGCAGGGCCCUGAGCUGCCUUCCCUCCCCGUGGGGGGAGUCACCCUGGCUUCUCUCCCUGCUCUGUGCACGAGUGGCCCCCCUCAGUCCUAUCAGGGCCUCCUCUCUGUGGUGCAGCCCUGGCCUCGAGGGCCCCCUGGCCAGCCCGCCUGCCCGGGAUGAGCGCUUACCCUCCCAGCAGCCGCCGUCCCGACCUCCACACCUCCCCGUAGAGGAGCGCCGAGCCUCGGCUCCUGCCGGCGGGAGCCCCCGAAUGCUGCACCCAGCCACCCAGCAGAGCCCGUUCAUGGUUGAUCUCCACGAGCAGGUAGGCAGAACCCCAUCCCCUGUGCCCCUGGCCCUGUGAGCCAGUCUGAAAGGCAGAGGCAGCAAGGCCUAGAUUUUACCUAGCUUGCUUCAUUUCACGUUCCACGGAGGCAUUAUUGGCCC